CUGGCUGCCAGUUACAGAACACCCACCCUUAGGUGUAACAUUUGAGAUGAGGAUGAAGCCACACUGGGUGUGGAGAGGCAGCGGCAGGAGGUGUCUACUCCACAGUCCCUGGCCCCCUGCAAUGUGAAGUCAGAAGGAUGAUUUAGGUUCUGUCCAGUGAUGUGACACAGCUUCCAGAACGUUCCUCACAGCAGGUGCCCUGAAAGCCCAGACCCAGCCGGCAGGUCACUUGCUGAGCUGCUACUUGAACAUCCAGAGGCAUCAUUCAGAGUGAAGAGAGAGGCUGUUUCUUCAAAGGCAGGCGUGCUGGACGGAAGAAAACCACUGUGUCCACGAUCGUGUCCAAAUAAACAGAGUUAAUGUAAUGAAGAAGUUCCUUCGGAGCUCUGGGUCAGAUCUUCUCACUGGUAAAAGGACAAUUAAAAGCCUACACUCACUUUAUGGAGCCCAGGUCCUAGUUAGCCUCCCAGAAACCUACAUACUUAACGUUUUAUUCCACAAAGUGUCCUAACUGAUACAGUGGGAGAGGCAUAAAAAUUUAGUGUUUGUUAUUUGGAACCCCCAAUGACAAAAUCAUGUUAAUGCAACCUUUUACAGAGAGAACUCAAGAGGGGAAUCAUCAGGUAACCCCAACGGCCUGGAAGCCAAGGAAGGCAGUGUACAGCCUGUGCCGUGGAUGGAUGGAGAGGAGACAAGAUGCCGCGGCCAUAGAGAACUGCCCCGUGUGGACAGCACUGCCCGGUGGACUAGGAAUUGCCAUGGAAUUGGAAAGCAGAAGGGGGAGGUCUGUGUUGUCUGUGGAUCUUCCGUCUAGAGUGGCCCUGGGCCCAAGCUGAAUCCCCCAGCUUGAAAAGGCCAGUGUGAGUCAUCAGUCCCACCCAUACUUUGCCUUUUGAGGUGCUGGGGCAAGCAGGGGCAGAGAGCGUCUGCACUCUGUACAGACUAAGGAGGCAGGCAGCAACAGGAACACUCCUACAAAUGAGCUUAAUAGCAGUGCGUGGGCCCACACCUGUAAUCCCAGCCAUCAGAAAGCAGAAGCAGAAUUGGGAGCUCCAGGCCAGCCUGAACGACACAAAAAGACCAUCUCAAAACAAAUGAACAAAGAAACAAAAUCAAGAGGAGUUUAGUUUUGUGUCCCCAGAGAAGAUUCAGAGCUGAAGAAAGACCUAGACAUAGACAGUCAGAGGGGCUUGUUCUCUAGCUAAACCCCAGAUAAGACCUGAGAUUCCUGAUAGUUGAUCCUAAGAGUGUAUUGACUCAGUGACUGUUGAUAUAUUAGAACCCUAGUCCGAAUUCAAAGUCAUAUAGAAACUGAAACUUAAAAGAAUCUUCUGCCGGGCAUUGGUGGUGCACGCGUUUAAUCCCAGCACUCGGGAGGCAGAGGCAGGUGGAUCUCUGUGAGUUUGAAACCAGCCUGGUCUACAAGAGCUAGUUCUAGGACAGGCUUCAACGCCACAGAGAAACCCUAUCUCGAAAAACCACAAGAAAAGAAAAAAAUUUAAAUAAAUAAAAGAAUCUUCUAGAACUUUGACAUCUAAAAAUGGGUCCAACCUCAGGUAAAUUUGGAUGUUGUGCGUUGAGUAUGGCAGUGUACAUCUGUAAUCUUGGCCCUUGGAAGGCUGACUCAGGAAGACAAGGAAUACAUGAGAUCCAUGAAACCCUGCCCUUCUAAUACCUCCUUUGUAACUCUCCGAACCUAGGAGUGAUGUGUGUUUGGACUUCAUGGAAUGGCUUGCAAGACCACAGAUACGAAAAGUUCCAUUCUGCAAGCUAGUAGUGUGACUCAAGCUAAGAAGUGGGAAGCCUCAACCAAAGAGGCAAGGAUACAGCCCACAGGCAGAAGCCAAAGACCUAAAGCAUCAAUGGGCACUGGUGGGAAUCUCAGAGCAUAAAGACUCCAAGGAACCUGGCUUCUGAAGACGGAGAGCAGACAAUGGCUAACUCAGACAAUUGCUUCUUCUUCCUGGGCCCAGCCCUGUCCACACAGGGAGCAGUUCUUUUCCACUCGGUUGGCUCUGUCUCUGGAAACACUCUCACUGGCAUGCCCAGAGGUGCGGUACACACUACCUUCACGCAUCACUUGAUCGUGUCAACACUGGAAUUUUGUUAGCCACUCCGCUGCCAAAUUAGCCACCACACAACUGAAACAACAUAAACCCAAUUCAGACCAGCAAAUGUAUCUUCAACCAAGUGAGCUCAGCAAAUAUUUCUUCCUUUCCACCCUCUGCACAGGCAUGGGAGGAUUACAGCUUUCCAUUCCCACUGACAUUUUGUUGACUAAAUGACUUACUUUGCUUCUCCUAAUGUAGACGAUACAACAGAAGCUUGACAUGAGUGAGCCAAGUCCCUAGUUAACCUUUCUUGAAUGCAUAGCAAGAAACAAACCUUCAAGGCAUAUGCCACUAUUCAUCUCCACACUCUAUUAUUUUAUCCCUACAGAACCCGGUGAGGGUUUCUCUGUGUAGCUUUGGAGCCUGUCCAGCACGAGGCCAAACUUGAAAAUGCAGAUUGCACUGAAGCUUUGCUGAACAGUUGCAACCCACGAAAACUCAGCAAGUGUGUGUCAACUCAUUUCUAAUCUACUCACUGAAAGUCAGAAAAGUCCCUUUUAGAUGUGAGAACUCAGCAAGAUGCUAAGGGACUCUGUCUCCUUCUGUCCCAACCAGACAUUGAAAUACAGUGACACACCUCACAGCAGCACUUUGGUCAAGGAUGGGCUGCUUGUGACAUGGAGAUCCUGCAAUGUGUUGAUUGGUGACUUUGAAAAACAACGGUUUGUGUAAGCGUGUGCUCCAUGAUGCUUACACGGUGACAAAGUCACCUAGUGAGGUAUUUCUCAGAACAGAUCCCUUUUGUUAAGCCAUGCAUAACUGCCAUCAAUGCCAUAUCUCUUGAGCCCAGAAAGGGAACCUCUUCCUGGGUGCGGCCGUGCACACCUGCAAUCCCAGCAUUGAGACAAGAAGAUGGCAAGUUUGAGGCCAGCCUAGACUACAUAGUGAAACUCUUGUGUAUGUGAGGCAAUGAAGGAGACAGAUAGAGGACGGUCCUGCCACCCUUCCUGGCAACGUUGCAGUAUCAAACACUUUGGGAAGUGACAGAGGCCUUCCUUGGCUGCAGUAGCCCUCCGUCCGCAUCAGCACCGAUGUGGAGGACUCGGAGAACCCAGAGAGAAGUGGGAGAUGAGCAAACGAGUUCCAGAUUUCCCAGCCCAGCAUGCAGGUCUGUGCACUGGCUAAGCUCAGUGAAGGGCUUGAAUGGAAGAUUAAAGGGAAUUCUUGUGUGUUUAUUCAAGAAUGCGGUGACUGUUGGACAUUAUCACAGAUUCCCCAAGUCUGAGCUCAUUUUGUAACAGAGCCUUGGUGGAGCAGGCAAAUAUCAUAGUCAUUUAUCUGGUAACAUCCCUGUGAGUGCAGCGCCAGGCCCCUCCUUUUCUAGUGUCUACUCUAUGAACUCUAGUUUUAAAGGGGCAGGGGAAGUAAAACUGUCAUAACCGAGCAAGCAGCAAGCUGCAUUUGCCUAACACACACACACACACACACACACACACACACACACUCACACUCACACUCACACACAAACCUCACCACUACCACUAACUAAAGAGAAAGAGGCCAUGAAAUUGAAAGAAAACAAGGGGGUGAGGUACAUGGGAGGCUUUCGAGGGAUAAAAGGGAAGGAGAAAAUGAUGUAAUUAUAUUCUCAAAAAUAUUUUUAAAAUUAUCAUAACAGAAACACUUGCUUUUAAAAAACCAGAUGACUUUUUAAAUGUUUCAUCAACAAAAUUCAGUGUUUUUUGUUAUGUUACAUAUACAGAAAACUGGAAAGAAAUCAUUAUUAUUUCCUUACUCCUUUUUUUUAAAUUGGAUACAUUAAAGUGUGAAACAUGCCAUUUUAAUAGACUUACCUUGAUACACACAUACACACAAGCACAUAUAUAUUUACACACGUGGUGAAAUGGAUGAGAAAUGUCCCCCAUAGGCUCUGUGUGUUUGAACAUUUUGUCCUCAGUUGGUAGUAACUCUUUGGGGAGGAUAUGGAACUUUUAGGAGAUAGAGACUUCCUGGAGGAAGUGUACCAGCGGGGGUGGGCUUUGAAGGUUUAUAACCUCAUUUCACUUCCUGUGUGUUGAAACCGUGAUGAUCUAGCUUCCUGUUCCUGCAGGCCACGCUUCCUUGCCUGUUGCUACAUUUCCCCCACCAUGACGGAUUCUGUCCCUCUGGAACCAUUAGCCCCAAUAUACCCCUUCUUGGUCAUAGUAUUUUAUUUAUUUAUAUCUGUUUAUUUACUUGAGACAAAUUACCUCUUUGGAGCUCUGGCUGGCUGGAACUUUCUAUGUAGACCAGGCUGGCCUCAAAUUCACAGAGAUCUGCCUGCCUUUGCCUUCUGAGUGCUGGGACUAAAGGCAUGCACCACCAUGCCUGAUCCUGAUCAUGGUGUCUAACAGAAGAGUAACAAGUACAGGGAUCACGUGACAUGCUCAUCCUGCAGAGCCAGCUUCCCACGUACCCUUUGACCCUGUCAUCAUUCCCACUGCUGGGUCUCAUCCUCCUCGAUGGACCACCACUGUGGUCUGUGAUGCCACCAGAGGCCAUGCUGGUGUCUGUAUCCAUGCUCGCUGCCCCAGGGAGCCUCCAUUUUAUUUUGCUUAAACUUAAAUUUUAGACUCGAUGCCUGAGGGACUUUUCACCCUUUUUCUUUCUAUGUCUCCUUUAUUUCAUUUAGUAUAAUGUCCAACAGAUUUUGUUUGGAAAAAUGAAGAAUUUUGGGAGUGGAUAGAGGUGGCAAUUGUAACACAAUUGUGAGUAUACUUAAAACAUGGAUAAAUGGUUGCUUUGGUUAAGGUUUUCUUUUGCUGUGAAGAGAAACCACAACGACAGCAACUCUUAUAAAGAAAACAUUUAAUUGGGGCGGCUCACUUACAUUUCAUAGGUUCAGUCCAUUGUCAUCAGGAUGGGGAACAUGGCAGCCUGCACGCAGAUACGGUGCUGGAGCUGAGGGCUGCAUCUUGACUCAGAGGCAGCAGGAAGUUGACUGUCACACAGAGAGAAGCUUGAGAAAAGAGACCCCCCCAAGGCCCGCCCCCACAGUGACGCACUUCCUCCAACAAGGCCACACCUCCUAAGAGAGCCUGGGGUGGUGGAAUGCAGCCAGGCUGCCAAUCAAUGAACAAAUAUGUGAUGGAGAGGUGGGAAAAAAUAGAAAAGCGAGCACUGUGGAGAGAGCUGGGACUGGAGCCUGUUGGUGGUGACAGGUGUGAGAGAGGCGCUAAGGUCAACAGCGGGACCAUGUCGUUGUCCCAUAGGGUCACCUCGUACAAUGCAGCAGCCUGGAGCUUACACGGAUGAAGACUCAGCUGCUCCCCAACCACAACACACCACCUGGCCAAGGGAUGGCCUUGGUUCUGGACAACAAUGUUUGAGAUUAGGAAUGGUUCGCUUUCUGGAUUGGACCUCCUCGAUGGACCACCACUGUGGUCUGUGAUGCCACCAGAGGCCAUGCUGGUGUCUGUAUCCAUGCUCGCUGCCCCAGGCAAUGAUGAAGCUCGAGAUCCGUGUGGACUUUUGAGGUCUGUGCUGCUGACUAAAGCCGUGUGGAGCCCUGUGGGCCACGCUGCUGCUGGGGGCCAUAUUGAUGCAUCCUGUGUUGCCAUCUGAAGCCACAGUGACUCCAAGUCUGUGCUGCCACCCAGGGCUACAUCUGGGUCUGUGGUCCUACUGCAGUCCUGGUCUGUGUUAAUGUCCAUGUCCCAUGUAACCUCCGGAAGGCCGUGUGAUGUCUAUGGUCUGUGCUGCAGCCUGAAGCCAUGUUGAUAUUCGUGGGCUGUGCCACUGCAGGGCCAUAUUGACCUGGGUGGAUUUCACUGUCACCUGAGGCCAUGUUGAUGUCCAUGGUCUAGGCUGCCUCUGGGAGCCUUGUCUGGGUCUGUGGUCCUACUGCAGCUGGGGGCUGUGUGCAUGGUCUGUGCUGUUACCAGAAACCAUGUGGAGGCCCAUGAUCUAUGCUCCCUGUGACAGUGGCUACUUUUACUGUCAUAUGGAUGAUCUCUGUGUGUUCAAGGUCAACCCAGUCUACAUAGAGUCCCAGGACAACCGGGGUUACAUACAGAGAUCCUAUCUCAGCAACACACACCCCCGGCCCCAAACAAACAAAACUCCAGGUUUGGGAAAUUUAACAAGAGAAGAGAGAGAAAAAAUUCAAGAAAAGCAGGGGUCAGGGUGGGUGGGAAUGAAAUAGAGAUGGCUCAGGAGUUAAGAACACAAAAUGCUUUUGAAGAGGGCCCAAGUUUGGUUCCCAGCACCCACAUCAGGCUGCUCACAACAGCCUGUAACUCCAGCUCUGGGAGAUCCUAUGCAACUGACAUCUAAGGGCACAUUGGACUCUCACACGUACCGCCCUCUCUGCAAACACACAUGCAUGCUCACACACACAUACACACACACACACACACACACACACACACACACACAGAGUAGCUAUUGUAUUCACUUAUACUCAGAAAAUAAAUAGGAAUCAUCUGCUCCCAUCUAUCUACUUAAGGAACUUGCUGAGACCCUGAAACCUGGGGAACUCACAUGGCCAACAGUAGUGAGGCAGAGAGGAAAAACAGAUUUCCCCAGCAGGAAAUGGCCCAAAUAGAAGAAAUUCCAGUCUUUGGACCCUGCUUAGACAACAGUCGGGUAGAAAGUUUAUCGUUAAACUCUCAAGCUCUUUUGCCAUUUAAUGUACGAAUGUGCUAGGUCAUUGUGCUAUGACUCAAAGGGGGUUAAUGUUUUUCAGAAAACAUUCAGAAAGCCUUUGAACAAUUGCUCCUCGGGCAGGUUUGGCUGCAGGAUGAAUGCCACUAUCACCAUCCAGAUGCUUUACACACACUCUCUUCCUUUAAAAAAGUUCAACCCUUGAUGUUUUACGGUUGUUACUCGGUAGUAGAGCCAAGGCUACUUUAUUUCCCAAGCUGAAACUCCAAAAACACUGACACACAUUCUCUUGUCUGGGUUAUGAAAUUUCUGUGGCCUUCAAAAGCCCGUUAAGGGGUUGUCAACUCAAAAGACAGAGAAGAGCCCUUAGAAGUUCCAUCCGGUGCUGCCUGGUCACAUACUAGGAAUCUGACCCUCAGAGAAAUGUCCUAGUUUGGGAAGAAACACAAGGCUGAACUGGAUGGCCCCAGAUCCCUCCAGCUUAUUCUUUAAGGGCAGACAACGUACAGGUGUGUGAUGGAGUCAACACAUAAAAUAUCUUACUGUGUUCAUUAAAUAAGUGUGGGUGUUAAAAUAUAAA
Cricetulus griseus (Chinese hamster) is the source of this 7275-nucleotide non-coding RNA. NCBI's taxonomy places the organism in Eukaryota, Metazoa, Chordata, Mammalia, Rodentia, Cricetidae. The record is from RefSeq and is a predicted model, not a curated record.